CCCUAGUACGGCGAGUGAAGAGGAAAGAGCUCAAAGUUGGAACCUGUUUGGCCUAGCUAAACCGGAUUGUAGACUGUAGAAGUGUUUUCCAGGCAAGCCGAGUAAAUAAGUCCUUUGGAACAGGGCAUCAUAGAGGGUGAGAAUCCCGUCUUUGGCUUGAGCAUUUGCCUUUUGUGAUACGCUUUCAAAGAGUCAGGUUGUUUGGGAAUGCAGCCUAAAUUGGGUGGUAAAUCUCACCUAAAGCUAAAUAUUGGCGAGAAACCGAUAGCGAACAAGUACCGUGAGGGAAAGAUGAAAAGAACUUUGAAAAGAGAGUUAAACAGUAUGUGAAAUUGUUAAAAGGGAACCGUUUGGAGCCAGACUGGCUUGUCUGUAAUCAAUCUAGGCUUCGGCCUGGAUGCACUUGCAGGCUAUGCCUGCCAACGACAAUUUGACUUGAGGGAAAAAACUAGGGGAAAUGUGGCCCACUUGUGGGUGUUAUAGUCCCUUAGAAAAUACCUUGGGUUGGAUUGAGGAACGCAGCGAAUGCUUUUUGGCGAGUUUUCCAGGAAGGUUUUCUGAGGUACUACGGUAUCAAGGUUGAUCUUUUUGGUUAUACUUCUAUUCGCUUAGGUUGUUGGCUUAAUGACUCUAAAUGACCCGUCUUGAAACACGGACCAAGGAGUCCACCAUUAGUGCGAGUAUUUGGGUGCCAAACCCAUAUGCGUAAGGAAACUGAUUGAUACGAAUCCAUUAAGGAGGCAGUAUCGUCCGGCGCUGACGUUUUAUACUGAAUUGACCGAGACAAAGCACUAAUGAUGGGACCCGAAGAUGGUGAACUAUGCCUGAAUAGGGUGAAGCCAGAGAAACUCUGGUGGAGGCUCGUAGCGAUUCUGACGUGCAAUCGAUCGUCAAAUUUGGUAUAGGGGCAAAAGACUAAUCGAACCAUCUAGUAGCUGGUUCCUGCCCAGUU
Molecule: ribosomal RNA, 952 nt
Filed under: Rhizopus arrhizus
Lineage: Eukaryota; Fungi; Mucoromycota; Mucoromycetes; Mucorales; Rhizopodaceae
Description: LSU rRNA
Rfam family: Eukaryotic large subunit ribosomal RNA
Source: RNAcentral